This 12110-nucleotide long non-coding RNA is filed under the name Populus trichocarpa (black cottonwood). Its description in RNAcentral is "long non-coding RNA (PTRI_LNC000440)". The record is from RNAcentral. Lineage: Eukaryota; Viridiplantae; Streptophyta; Magnoliopsida; Malpighiales; Salicaceae.
AUAGAUAAGUCGAAAUCUUCUAUGGUAAAUAAGACUGUUACAAUGUGAAGCCAAUUUGUAUCCCAUUGCCAAUGGAACAGUAGGAAUUACUUCCCACCAAUCAAAAACAUAUCUGCAGCACCACAGCUCAAAGACAUGAAUCUCCGUGAAAUCGCCUAUUGAGGAGUUGAUCGUGUAACAACCAACCAACCUUGCCUCAAGCAAACACGAAGAACAAAGACCAUCCAUGCAUAUUUAAUUCACCCAUUAAAAGUUGAAGGAUAAGGAGAGAAGAUAAAUAAUCAUAGCCAUGUUACCUAGUCAGGGCAAGGAUGAAUUAUUAGCAUGUUUCUCAAAUCCCAAUCCCAAACUAAUCAUUUCUCUUCAUUUUGUUGAGCUCAGCGAAGGAACUACCAAAUCUUACUGAAAGUAUUUAAGUGAAGACUGUCAUAACUCAUUUUUGGGUCACUCCUAAAUUUUUUUUCCUUUUCUUCAAAAAAAAAUAAAAAAAAAACUGCACGGUGCCGUUUUGAACGGCACAGUGCAGCUUCUUCUCCCCUGCAGAGACAGGGGAGAAGAAGAUUUUAAAUCUUUUCCCCGCUCUCUCUCUCCACCCCACUUACCCAAAAAACCCGCGUGACCCAUACCCACACAACCAUACCCUGCAAGUAUUAUGGAAGAAAAAUGAGACGGAAACCAUGCCCUGCCAGCAGCUCCCAUCACCCACCUUACCCUGCGCCAUGGCAGGGGUAAGGUGAUCCUCUCCUCCUCUACUUAUAAAUACCAGAGGAGGAACCAGCAACCGGGGGGGAAAUUUUUUGGGAGAGCAGAGGGAAGCAAGCUGCAGAAACGAAAAAAAAAGGGGAAACAAGAGGGGGCAAAACUUUUGAGAAACGAACUUGAAGGGAGGAACAAAUUUGAGAAAGGAGACAGGGGAGGUUUACAAAGAAGCAGAAACAGAGGGGGGGGUUUUCGGGUCCAAAGUUAGAAAACAAAAUCAUCCUUUUCGGGUUCCCAGCAGCUGCUCCUCCCUCUCCACCGUGGCCUUCGGCCACCACCAUCCAGCACCGCCAUUCCGCCACCAUCGGCGCUGCCACCAGCAGCAACAGAGGAGAAACCGAAACAAAACAGAGAAGGAGAAAGAACAAGAGAGAGAGCAGAAACAGAGAGGAAGCAAAGGAGAGAAAGGAGAAGAACCACCGGCUGCUAUCCUCUCCACCGCCACCAGCAUCACCGCCAGCUGCCAUUGCCCUCCCAGUCGACAACAGCCCCGUGAGAAGCAGAAGGAAGAAACGGAAACAGAGGCGAACAGAGCUGAAGAAAAACGCAGAGAAGAAGAGGAAGAAAGGCCGACCACCGUCCAAGCCACUCCCCCAGGCCGCCACCACCAGCAUCUCCAACCGCCGCUGACAGCCACGAAGAGACAGAGGAGAAGAAGAGAAGAUAACGGAAAAACAGAGGAGAGGGGGGCUGAGAAGAGAAACAGAGGAGACAGGAGAGAAGGAAGGAUAACGCCGCCGCUGUCACCGCCAACUUCCACCACCGCCGACGACCACAACCGUGCUUCCCCACUCCAGGUAACCUGCUCACUCCCGCUGCCUUUUGUUUACUUGCUCUUCCCUGUUUUCAUUCUUUUUUUUUCAUGCAGAACGUGAUUCACGUUCUGCAGCAAAGAAUGAAAUAAUUAGGUAGUUACUGUGCUGAGCACAGUAACUACCUAAUUAUAUUUAGCUGGUUACUGUGCUCAGCACAGUAACCAGCCGUUGUCUGGUGGGCUGGAACAUCAGCCCAGCCCAUGCGGCUGGGCUGAGGCCAGCCUUGUAGUUGGGCCAAUGCAGGCCCAGCCCAGGAUGGGUGGGCCGGGCCCGGCUCCUUUUUUUAAAAAAAAAAAACUUGCCAAAAAAUAUUGUUUGGGAUUUUUUUUUUUACAAUUUCCUCGCGUAUUUGUUACGUUGUUUUUUAUCAAUAUCGGACUUUAUUUUUAUGUCAUUAAAAAUACAAAAUCCAGUAUUAAAAUACCCGGUUUUCGUCAAAACUUCCAAAAUACAAAAAACUUUGAAAAAAAAAAUUUUGUGCAUAUGGCCAAGUGUCUCAAAGCUAAAAAAUCAUAUUGUGUUUUUUAUACACCAAAAAACAAUGUUUUAGCAUGCAUUUUGGCUUUAAUAACCAGUUUAUUAAAGUCAAGAGAACAUUGGCCAAAAUUUCAAAAAAACAACAAAAAAUUUUAUUUUGUUUUGUCUUUUAGUAUCCGGGGUACGAUAUUACAUGUAAUACGUAUUCCGGAUAUUAAAUCUUUUUCCAAUGUUAGAACAGUUAGGUUCUACCCCAUAAGAUAAGAACCUCCUUAUUGAGGAGGGCUUUUCUUGAAUCUUAAAUAGACAGGACCAAUAAUUAGAAAACACGACCAAGCCUUAGAUUUUGAUCAGACAAAUAAAAAUAAUGCAGCUUACCUUAGGUAGGGCGUAUUUGGGGUGCUAAUACCUUCCCUUUACGCAACCAGUCUCCGUACCCGAUCUCUGAGACCAGUUAGGGUUCCUAGUGACCAGAAUACUAGGUGGCGACUCCCAUUCUAUUUUUUCCACCGCUAAGAGACAAAUAAUUCCUUUUCUCCCCGUAUUUUCCAGAUACACACACAAUUGAGUGUGGAGGGCGAUCGCCGCGACGCCGCACACGUGCGACAAAGACAACAAAUAGAUGUGUACUGUUUUAUUUGAACUGAAAAGAAUUGAUUGCUUACAGAUCAUUGCAAUCCUUACAAAUAUAUAGUAAACCAAACAAACUGAAUUGCUAACUUAAAGCACCAAAUCAUGCAAAAUGCUACCAUCAUUACCUUCAAAUCUAUAGUUAAUUCCAUUUUUCUAUAAAAGACAAAACCAUCAGUAUCCAAUAGUUGCCGACUUCACCACGGGUUCAACAUUUUUUUGACAAGUUGGGAUUCGAUACUAAUGAGCAUAUUUUCUUAAGUUGAAAUAGUGCUACCCAAUCUAGGUUACAGUGGGUUGAUGAAUUAAAGAGCAGUUGUUAUUUGACACUGCAAUUAGAUGGCUCAUAUUUGAUUUACGGAGCUAUGAUAUGGGAAUCGUGCUUGUAUCACAUAUAAAAAUAUUUACAUAGUAACAAGCAUUAUUAAAGAUGGUACACUAGUAAGUUUCCAAAUGCUAUCAACAAAUAUUAUAACCUCUUAAUUUAUACAAGGAUUGAGCUAAAUUGCAUACAAGCAAUCCCUAACUUUGGUAGUUUCUUUGUGUUAAAAAUGGAGACUUCUUGGUGUUUGCCGGAACUCCAACUUGGGUAUACCUUUUGUGAACAAGAAACAAGGUAAAAACAUCUUUCAACGAUAUCAAAUCAUUUAUUCAUAUAAAGUAUUAGUGUUGUCAUUUAAUUUCACUACAUUGAAGAAAAUUCUGAUUUGAUACCAAUUCAUGCUUGGCACGACUGUUACAUGACACCUGGGAUGCUCAGCAACACUACAUCCACAAUCAUGACGACGAACACUGAUGCAGCCACGAAAACAUCAAAACACUAUUUGCUUUGGUAGUAGUAUUGACUGCAAACUUGGUUGACCAACAGAAUCCCUGCCUUCAGCCAACCCCAAAUUUGACUAUCAUCGUAUAAUAUUGAUCGUCACAUUAUAUUUUCCAACUUUUAAUAGGAUUUUAAGGACAAGUUACAGUUGAAAGCUAAUAUAACAACAUUCUUAAAUUCACAUCCUACCGACCAUUAUGGCUAUUAGCUUCCAACCAUUCUCCAUGUUUCACUUUUCUUCAAGUAUUUUCACCAAAAUAAAGCUUCAACCUUUAAAGUUUUGCUUAUAAAGUCAAGAUCCAUGGGGAUUAUUUAAGAUUUUAUGGGAAGCAUUUCAAAUAUUUUAUGUUUUUUUUUAAAAAAAAUAUUGUUAUAGACAUAGAAUCAACAAGAUUGUGUGACAUUCUAUAUUGAUUUUGUGAUAUUUUAAUCACUAAAAGUAUGGUUUCAGAAAGAUAAAAACCAAACAAAAAAUUGAAAAAAUUAAAAAUUUUCAAACCAACAGAAUCCAACAUAUUGAUCAGUUUUGGUCUGAUUUGAUUCGGAUAUUUUUUAGCUGAAACAAUUAAUAACCAUUUUCAAAAGGUAAGUAUUGACAAGCCUUUCACGAAACCAUGUUCAUUUAUGCUGAAUCAAUCCAAAUCAGGUUCAGGUUGCUAACUCAAACUAACACAAUCCAAAAUUGAAUGCACACAGACUCUGAGUUGUUUCAGUUUAAUGAUUUUUAGAAAUGUCAAACUGAAACCGAACCGAAAUAUAUGAAUAUUUCUAACUGAGACACCCCCAAAUAUUAAAAAAAUAAUUGGUUUUGUUUUGUUUAGUUUGGUUAUAGCAGAUACCCCUAACAAUCUGCUUUUUCACUCGACAUCAAACAACAAGCACUAAUAUUAUGUCUGUAAGUAAAUUACUAUAAAGUAUAAAAAUAUAUGUGGAUAAUUGAAAAUUUGCUUAGAGUUGCUAAUAAUUCACAACUGCAACAACCAACACGACCAGGUAAUGCUUGGGAAUGGGAUCAUGUAAUGCCCGGGAAUGGGCCUUGGUGCACAAUCAUGAUUGUAACCAUGAUUUAAAAUCAUUUCCACACUAGACUAUCCAAGACAAUUGGUAUUGGAUUGUUAGCAACAAUUCAGUUUAUAAUAAUAAUAAUAAUGUUGAUUCUUUUAUCUCCUACUUAAUGCAAGUGUCCAUCGUGUGCUGAAAUUGAUUGUUUACCUCAUAUUUCUUUUAAAGGUAGAGAUUUCUUGGUUGACAAUGGGAAAAAGUAAUCGCAUGGUUAUUUUCCAUAAGAUUCAUUUGAGUAAAUAUUCUCUAUUGGAGGUCAAUUUCAUCGAAGCAAUUACUUCAAGGAACACAUCCUAACUAUCAACCUCUAAGUAGUCAUCUCCCUUAUCCUAAUUUUUUAUUUCCUAAUAAAAUCUCACGGUUUUUCAUCAUGUUCAAAGGAAAAGUUGACGUUGCAAAUGGUGCUCUAAGGAACCAAGUCAUCCUAGAACUAAUCAUCCACCUAAUCUCAUCAACUCCUUGUUGCACAAACAGCUUGUCUCACUUAAAGGGGAUUUUAAUGAUGAACAAACACCAACUCCUUGUUGCUCAAAUACAUAUGCUCAUUUAAACACAAUUUUGCAUUACCUAGAACUGACAAGGCCUAAAAUCCCGGAAAUAGAAUUUUGUUUUAAAGGAACUUCAGGAUUUCUAUAUAGGAUGCUUGACCUCAUUAAAGAUAAACUGAGGACAUCCAUAACAUAAAUUAUCUUCCUUGCCCCAAAGUCAGCACAGAAAAACCCAAUUUAGCAUUCUUAUGCAAACUACAACUGCAGAAGGCUUGCACAUGUAGGGGAGGUAGGAAGAACUGCUAUGAAUUUGAUCUCAAAGGGGUACCACCUCAUAUGCCUACAGGAGAUACAUGACCAGUGAUGGUUGUUCUAUCCACAAAAUUAGCUAACAUACGACUAUUUUAUUCAACUACCAUUUCAGGAUAUGAGUUCUCCUAGCCACACUCAAAAGCCCUAGCCGCUAUAUGAACAAAGCACCUAAAAAAUUAAUCACCUACCUAAUCUAAUUCAGGAAAUUUUGGUCAAAAUCUCCUACAAUGAAACGAGUUAUUUGAAUGCAUAGACAGGAAAUUCAGGGUAAACACACACACAACCCCCUGAUCAUAAAUUUCCUAAAGAAAUUCUGAAUUGUAACAUUGGUAAACAAAGUGGUGACAAUAUCAUCACAUUAAAAAUGCAUUUCACUCAAAACAAAUACUAGCUCAAGAAAAAAAAUUGCAAGAAGCCAAUAGAGAAUAAAGUAAGCAGUCCAUAAACAAGAGACAGAGAGACAUUGUUCCAAUACAGAAAAGUAAUUAAAACCCAAUAACUAAAACUGAGAAAGAAUCAAACCAGUGAGUAACUAAUCCUUUUAAAGCAUUCCAAGAAUGGCAACCAAAUGUAACAUAAUCAACCUGCAAAAACAAACACAAAAAGAAUUAGAAGAAGAAACCCCAUUAGUUAAUAAGUUAAAACAGCAGCAGCAGCAAAAAGACUCAAAUUUUAGUUAUUUGGACUUGAGAAAAAGCACUGAACCCUCUGUGAAAAUGCCAUGAAAGGGGUGCUAAGAAACCAGGAAAAUAAAACUUUUAAAAGGGUGUUUUUACAAAGCAAGAAAGAAGCUAGGAAGCAAGCCAGCCUACCCUCACGAACUCUGUUUGUUUAAUUGUUUUUUCUCCUUUGAAGUGAAAACAAAAAAAGAAAAAAAGAAAAAAAAAACAAAGAGCACCCGGAAAAUCUAGUCAGAAAUAUUUUAUGUUGUUGUCUUGGAGUGACGCAGAUACCGAGGAACAGUUGUGGGGCCACCAUUGGUGAGCAGUGAUACAGUGGCAAGUAUGUGAAAUAACGCAUAUUACAGUGCGCAAUGAUAGAGUGAGUCUGGGUGGACAAACUUUUGGUGGUACACGUGGUGCUUAAUGAUUUGACGGCUAUGGAGAGAAGUUACAUGAGGGAAAUAAGAUGGAAAAAGUGGCCUCUCUAGAUUUUGGAAAUGUUCUCUGAAGAAAGAAAGAAAAUAAUUUCAAAGGUGGACAAAAAUAGGGUAAUAUCAGAUUUGGAACAUAAUCUUGGUUGGUGAAGAAUAACAUAAUCUAAGGAGAAAUCUAGGGCAAGCCAGUGAGAUUUGAGCUUCGAUUUGGGACCAAUUUAUAGCUGGAUAAUACCAUCAUGGGUGAUGUCCAGCUCAUAAAGUUAUCAGAUUCUGUGUGUGUGAGGCUGCCAUAUGUUUCUUUCUUCUAUGAUGGAUAAAAAACGCUAAGCAAUUAACCCACCUAGUAAAAAAGGUAUUAUGGUUAUGAUAAAAACUCUACAGCCUGUGAUUCUAUUUUUGAAGAUAUUCUUAUUAUAUUUAUAAUUAUAAGAAUCUUUAAAAAAGACACGGGUAAAAUAUUAUUCUCACAUCACUAUUCACUGGUGUUAUAGGCUUAAAUUGAUAGAUAAAUUAAGUAAAUUUAUUGAGGAAAAGCAAAAUUUAAAUAUAGAUAAUCAAAGUGAAAACAAAAGCGCAAAAAAAAAUGGUAGUUUCAUGAUUGAAGCUAAAAAUUCACUUUGAUUCUUAUACUUUUCAAAUAAUGACUUUUUGGUCCUUUAAGUUUUCCUACAUUUUAUUUUUUAUCCACAAAUUUAUUUUUCUAUGUUCUCAUUCCCUAAUUUGAUAGAGGAGACAAAAAGUCAUUGGAUUACAAUGUUAAAGAGAGUCUCUGUAGCAGCCUCAACAUUUGUAUUAAAACAAAGAGCACGGACAUGAUGAUUCAAAUAAAAUUAGGGAUUUUUUUUUAAUCAAUAAAAAAUUCGGCAGAGUUUUCUCUAUAUUUUUAGGUAUCAAGUUAUCGACUUUUCAUCUACAAUCCCUAAUUAUCAAAUUUCUUACUCAUCCUAUCAUCCAGGACUUCCUCCUCUCAUUACAUCACAACUUCUAAAUAAUCAAAUUCACACAUGUCUAAACAAUUCAAUAUCCCACAUUUACAUGGAUACAAUCCAAAGAAUUGUUCUACAAAUUAUAACUGAAGUACAUUACACAAUUCAAAAAUUUACAAAUAAGGACCAUUAACGAAAUUAUAAUCGAAAUAAGUACGUAAUUAAAGAAGAAAUUCAUAAUUAAGAUUAUACUACACAAAAGAGCUUUCGAUAAACUGUUGACGCAUUAUAUUACAUAACAAAAUGAUAAAUUCAUUCAUUACAAAAAAAAAUACCAAACAAAAUAUAAGAAAACUAAUCUACUGUUCAAUCCGAUAGGGGGAUGUACCUGAAAAUUAAUUUAAUACAAUAAUUCGAUUAGACAGAUGAAGAAAAGAUAUCCAUAAAAUUCUUUUUACUUUCUUUCUUUCUUCCUUUUUUUUUUUUGAAAAUUUAGUCAAAAGAUCAUUAAAUUAACUUGCUCAUAUAGUAUUAUAUAUAUCAAUUAAAUUUCAGAAUAAUCUAUUAGUUUGUUUUCUUUUUCUUUUUUAACAUCAACCAAAAAAAUAAUUAUUCCCAUCGCCCAAUUAACCCGGCAUUACUUUCACUAAUAGAUGAUUAAUUUUCCACCAGUCCAUUCAACAAGCACUAUUGUCAUCAAUCCAAAAAUUAGUUUAACGUUUAAUCCAUUCAUCAGGGUACAAAUCCCAUUAACCAGGAAAAUUAAUUCUUCAUCUCGCCUAUUAAUUUGCCAGGGCACUAAUUCUAUUAAAUCACGAAUUAGUUCAACAAUUUACCCAUUAACCAAGGACUUAAUUCCUCAUCACGCCCAUUCACUAGGACAUUAAUCCCAUUAGUUCAAGAAUUAAUUCAUCACAUCGCAUAUCUUAUUUUUUAAAAUAAACAAUAUAAUAAUUACUAAUUUAUCAACCAUAAUUAAUCAAAUAAAAAUACAUAUUAACCAAUAAUAAAUUCGGGCACCGUGUAAUUACCUAACGACUAAGCUCGAGCUGAAAUUCCCUGCUGUGGUGUCAGCCUGACAGCUUCUCUUGAAUUGACAAGCAUAUCACAUCAUUAUUCUACUUUCCAUAUUGAAACACUCAAUAAAUAAAAUCAUUCCAAUUAUCCUUUUAUUUAUCAAAAUAAAAUCAUUUUGUAAAUUUCCUUCCUAUUCUUCCAAUUUCCACAUUGUAACACAAUUCAUUUCAUCAUUCAAAUCAAUAUAUAUAUAUUCUUUAAAUUUAUUUAUUUAUUUUUUACCGUAAUUUAAAUCAAAGAAAAACAUAAAAAAUUUCAUGAUCUAUUCACUCUUUAACAUUAAUAUCAUCUCUUUCUUACACAAUCUCAUCAUCUUAUCAAAAUUCUUAAAUUUUUAUUUUUCUUAUUAUUAUUUUUCCAAAAAUCCCUUCUUCAAGAACACCUAAAAUUUUGCUUUAAUUACCAUAAUUUUUUACUUUCUCUACUCACUUCAAUAAUCUUAACACAAUUUCACAAUCAAUUGUAAUUUUUCAUAAAAUUUAUCAUGAACCCUAAUUCUUCAAUUCACAAAGUUCAAUCAAUUUAAAACAUAAAUUCUUCAAGAAUCUUAUUUAAAAGUGUAAGGGCACCUUACCAAGCAAUAACCAAAGCCUUAACACUUUUAAAUUAAGAAAUUUUCCUUGCUUGAAUUUGUUUUUCCUCUCCUAGCCGAAUGCUUCCUUCUCUUUGAAAAAGCAAGUUUGUUCUUUAUUUUUUGGUUUCCUUACAACACACACUCACUUGCACUCAUAUAUAUCAAUUUUUUCUCCCCCCCUCCCCCUCCCCCCCCACACUUACACACAUAUAAUUACUUAACUUUUAAAAAAUGCCUUCUAUAUCCCUCAAUACUAAAUUUUAUGAUUUUUGGGUAAAAUUUCAUGAAUCCUGACUCCUGUUUAUACCAAAUUUUACACGGGUUAUUUCAAAUUUCACUCAAUUACUCGUUAGUACUUUCAGUUUCAUGAAAUUCACUUUCAUAAAAAUUCUAUUCAUAUUUUUGUGUUUUUUUAUUUAUUUUUAUUAUAUAUAUAUAUAUAUAUAUUAACACCCGAACAAAACACUUCAAUUCAGAUUCUCGAAUAUAUCAUCAUUCUUAUAAUUUAAUUUAUCACUUUCCCUCAUUUUUUGUAAUUUUAACUUUUAUUAAUAUCAAUAAUAUUACCCGAGGUUUUAUAGUCUCAGUUGACACUGAUUUUCACCAUAAAAAAUGGUCGAUUUUUGUUUUAAUGAAUUUCAUUUGAUGAAGAGAGUUUCAUUGAAUUUUUUUUUUCCCUUUAAAUUGCCAAAAAAUUUAUGGUUUUUGGGCUAUUUUAUUAGUUUAUCACAUCAUAAAGACCAUUUUUAGGUGUUUUGGUGUGAACUUUGCUUAAAUUUGCAUUUUCGGGUCAAAAACACCCUGCUUAAUUUUCUAGUCACCUCUCCAAUGGUCAAACAGGAAAGUCUCGGUAGGUGACAUGUCGCUUUUUUUUUUCAAAAUUAUUUGGAGCAUUUUCAAAUAAAAAAAGGCCCAUAUGUACCAACCCUUUUUAAAAUGGGCUUGAUGUGUAGGCCUGACUUACUAGGCCCAAAAGCACUUGAUCUAUUUCUAUUUUUUUUUCUAAUUUUGUUUUCUUAAUUGAUAUUUUUUUAUGUAUUUUUAAUGAAUUUUUGAAUUUAUAUUUAAAUUAAUACUUUUCUCUCUAAAUAUUUAGAUUGUUUAUUUAGUUUUUUUUUUAAAUAUAGGUUAUCUUUUACUUAUCUUUUAUGUAUUUAAUAUCUAGAAAAAAAUAUUUCAAUUCAUCUAUAUGGUUUUUUUAUAUUUUAUAUGAAUAAACUUUAUUUUCAUGGCGUGUUUAUAAAAAUAAGAAUUAUUUGUUCUUGGUAAGAAAAAGUGACCUUUAAGAUAAAAAAAAAAAAAAAGAAAAGGAGAAAAGUGUGUAUGAAGAGGAAAGUUAAGGUUAAGUAUCAUAUUUAUGUAUCUUUUACUUUUAUGAAAAUGAUUAUCAUUUUAUUUUAUAAUUUGAUUGGCAUUAAGAACUCUUUAUUAGUUUAUUAGUUCAUAUUUUUGUAAGAUUUGUUUUUUACAUUUCUCAAUUAAGAGAAUCGUAAUACAAUGAAAUGCACUUUAAACAUUAUCCUAUUUUUCUACUACAUUAAAAAUUAACUUAAGAUCCUAUAUGUGGCACGAUGCGUUAACAACUAUUUUUUGUAUUUAUAAACACUUAUGGUCCUUACUUUAUUUUUAUUAUAUGUAAACAUCAACUUUUUUAUUCACAAUUAUAAUUUUCUCUUGAUUUUUAAAAAUACAUUAACAACAUUUAUACAUUUUUCUUUUGCGUUCAAAAAAUUAUCUGACUCGUAACAAAAUGAAUUAAAUAAACAUGUCAACACUUUUUUUUUGUAUUUAUGAUUAGGAUUUGUUUUUAUUAAAAAUGCAAUUGAAAAGCAUACAAAUUUAUUUUUUUGCUAAAAACAAUUUUGUGAUGCAUAACAAAGUACGAGUUAAAUAACUACUAAUAUGGCUAUAGUAAGUCUUUUAGUAUAUAUGGAUGUAGGAAGCAAUGUGUUAUAUUAUUAGUUAGAUAUAACUUACCUAUUCAUUAUUAAAAAAACAUAAAAUAAAUAAAUAUAUUAAUAGAAACCUAAAAGAGAUCGGCUGAAAUAUAAUAUUUUUGUCCUUUUUUUAUUUUGUUUCACAUUUCUCAAUUAAGAGAAUCAUGAUAUAAUGAAAUGUAUUUGAAACACCGUCCCAUUUUUCUACUACAUUAAAAAUUAACUUCCUACAUGUGGCGCGUUGCGUUAACAAUUGUUUUUGUAUUUAUUAACAUAUAUGAUCUCAAGUUUAUUUUAUUAUACGUAAAUAUUAACUUUUUUUAUUCACAAUUAUAUUUUUUCCUCUCGAUAUAAAAAAAUACAUUAACAACACUUAUACAUCCAUUCUUUUGUGUUGGAAAAUAUUAUUUGACCCAUAGCGAAGCGAGUUAAAUAAACACGUCAAUACCUUUUUUUGUAUUUGUGAUUAGGGUUUAUUUUUUUUUUGUUAAAAAAAUACAUUUGAAAAGCAUUUAUAUUUAUUUAUUUUGCUAAAAAACAUUUCUUACCCUUAGUAAAGUGUGAGUCAAAUAACUACUAAUAUGGCUAUAGUGAGUGUCUUUUUAUACAGUAUACUUGGAUGUAGGUAGCAAUGUAUUAUAUUAUUAGUUAGAUAUAACUUACCUAUUCAUUAUUAAAAAAAAACAUAAAAUAAAUAAAUAUAUUAAUAGAAACCUAAAAGAGAUCGGUUGAAACAAUAUAGUCUCCCUAAAUUAGCGAAAGCCAGCAAGGUAUCUGCUCGAAAAAACAAAUGGGCAAGCAAACAUACGCCCUUACUUCUGGAGGCUUGUACGAUAAUGGGCAAGCAUCAUUGUUUUUUUGGGGGCUUGUACGAUAAUGACUAAACACACAACAUUACAUUACUUCUAACUUCUUCAGCAAACACAGAUAGAUAAGUCGAAAUCUUCUGUAUUCCCAUUGCCAAUGAAACAGUUGGAAUUACUUCCCACCAAUCUAAAACAUAUUCGCAGCACCAACCUUGAAAUCAUGUAACAGCUAACCAACCUUGCCUGAUGCAAACAUGAAGAACAAAGACAAUCCAUGAUUUAAUUCAACCAUUAAAAUUUGAAGGUAAAGGAGAGGAUAAAUAAU